This 468-nucleotide ribosomal RNA is filed under the name uncultured bacterium. RNAcentral describes it as "partial 16S ribosomal RNA". It matches the Rfam family "Bacterial small subunit ribosomal RNA", at positions 28 to 507 of the family's 1533-position model. The record is from RNAcentral.
GACGAACGCUGGCGGUGUGCUUAACACAUGCAAGUCGAACGGUAAGGCCCUUUCGGGGGUACACGAGUGGCGAACGGGUGCGUAACACGUGAGUAACCUGCCCUCAUCUCUGGGAUAACAGUCGGAAACGGUUGCUAAUACUGGAUAUGAGCUUGCAAGGCAUCUUGUGGGUUGGAAAGAUUUUUUUUGGUUGGGGAUGGACUCGCGGCCUAUCAGCUUGUUGGUGAGGUAGUGGCUCACCAAGGCUUCGACGGGUAGCCGGCCUGAGAGGGCGACCGGCCACAUUGGGACUGAGAUACGGCCCAAACUCCUACGGGAGGCAGCAGUGGGGAAUAUUGCACAAUGGACGGAAGUCUGAUGCAGCAACGCCGCGUGCGGGAUGACGGCCUUCGGGUUGUAAACCGCUUCCAAUUGUGACGAAGCUUUUUUGUGACGGUAGCAGUAGAAGAAGCACCGGCUAACUACGUG